CUGGAGGACAGGUGCUGCAUGGCUGUCGUCAGCUCGUGUCGUGAGAUGUGGGUUAAGUCCCGCAACGAGCGCAACCCUUGCCUUUAGUUGCCAGCAGUUCGGCUGGGCACUCUAAAGGGACUGCCGGUGUUAAACCGGAGGAAGGUGGGGAUGACGUCAAGUCCUCAUGGCCUUUAUGACCAGGGCUACACACGUACUACAAUGGCCGAUACAAAGGGCAGCGACACUGCGAGGUGAAGCCAAUCCCGUAAAAUCGGUCUCAGUCCGGAUUGGAGUCUGCAACUCGACUCCAUGAAGUUGGAAUCGCUAGUAAUCGUGGAUCAGCAUGCCACGGUGAAUACGUUCCCGGGCCUU
This 354-nucleotide ribosomal RNA is filed under the name uncultured Desulfobulbus sp. RNAcentral describes it as "bacterial SSU rRNA". It matches the Rfam family "Bacterial small subunit ribosomal RNA", at positions 1027 to 1382 of the family's 1533-position model. The record is from RNAcentral. Lineage: Bacteria; Pseudomonadati; Thermodesulfobacteriota; Desulfobulbia; Desulfobulbales; Desulfobulbaceae.